Long non-coding RNA from Zea mays, 6159 nucleotides. RefSeq lists it as uncharacterized. The record is from RefSeq and is a predicted model, not a curated record. Lineage: Eukaryota; Viridiplantae; Streptophyta; Magnoliopsida; Poales; Poaceae. The transcript is spliced from 4 exons.
UUCUCUCUAAAGUGGCUCCACUCUUCCCUUCCGAUCUGUUGUCCUUUCUGCGAUGUAGUCAACAGUAGGGUAAAAAUGAUUUUGAUUGCCAAUUAGUAAGAUGGGAACACAUUCAAUCCCGUUCUGGUGGUGCUCUCUGUUUUCCAAUCCGUAUGGAUAUCGAGCACAUGAUUAAUUUGUAUUUUAAAGUUGGACCUUACUGUCCUUCGUUUACCGUCUUUAGUCCGUCAGUACAACAACUAAAUUUAAGAGAAAUCCAUUCCAAAAAGUCACAAUCUGCAAGAACUGAUGUCUCAGAAUCUCAAUUCAGGAAGUCAAAAGGUCUUCUAUUAGUCAGCUCCGACGUAUCUGUCGUGUUAGAGAUUAUCCCGAUUUCACCAUUGUGAUAGAGGUGUGACUUGAAGGUGGUGAGCGAUGCAAACGUCUUCUUCCCCAAUUGAGACUGUCCUGGCACACCUCGGCAUGCAUGGCUGCUUCUCCGAGAUCACCACCAACCUGGCGAGCGUCGACACCGAUGGUGGUGUUUAGAUCUCACCGUUCUGUGGCCACGCCCCACAGGUGCAAGCUCUGCUCUGACAACAUGUGCAAGCGUUAGGCUGAUCAUUUAAUUGUGCAUAUGUGGGCUCUUUAAUUGUUUGUGACUACAUAUGUGUAUUGUAGGAAAAAAAAUCCAUAUUUUGUACAUUGUUAAAUGCCUGUCAUUUCUAUAUUAUAUUGUACUACAUAAUUAAUAUCUGCAUUUCUAUUUACAGCCAUAAUGUAGAAAGUGCAUUGACUGAAUAUUAUAUUCUUAACAAAAAUCUGAAAUGGAAAUUACUGACAGAUACGUCUCCUGAUGCCAGUGCAAAUGCUGCUUUUGAUUUUUAUGAUUAGAUAGAUUAUAUGCAUGGUGGUGUAAGCUUAUUUAUUAAAUUGGAUGUAUGUCCCUGGCUGUUUUGUUAAAUCUGUGAUAGGCUUAGGCUGAUCAUAUACUUCUAAAUUUAUCACCUGUUUUGAAUGCAUUCCAAGCAAAAUAGUUGAUGUCCCUGGAUCCUGUACCUAUUGGUGUAGUUUUGUUUUAAUUGAUUUGGUGCUUUCAGUCUUUGCUUCGCCAAUGUUUCUGUAAUUGAUUGCCCUGGGAAGUGCUGUAGUAAAAGCACGACUCCAAUUCCAAAUUACAGAGAAUUCCAGACAAGAGGGUCUGCCCUGGUCUGAUCUAUAAAUCGCUAUGUUCUUAUCUUCAGUAAUCAUCUAUUUUCUUAGGUGCCUCAUAUUAUUGAGAACUCAUGGUCCCAGUUCUUUUGGCAUUAAUAGAUUGAUGAGUUAUUUUAUUGGAUGACGUCAAAUUUCCUUUGCCUCACUGUCCAGGUUAAAUGGCCUCUGAUUAUUGACUUGAAAACUGGCAUGUGUGUGUUUUUUCAUUUUGUUUCUUUAUAAUCUGCACCAACUAACCUGCUUUGAAUAGUUUGUUUGUGAUUCUACUGUUUACGUGAGUUUGACUGGUUAGAGAAUUUAAAUGUAUCAAAAAAAUAGUUCAACCCUGCAUUAUACAAAAUUAUGUGGAACCAUAAAAGGAUUUGGUCGUGUUGCAUGAUUUGCAUGAUAGCAAGGCUAUAUUCACUCUAAUCAGGUUUAUAAUUCCUAGAAGCAAAUAUAGAGAGUUGCUAGAUGUUAAAUGUCGGUUCCUUUUUUAGUUUUUUAAGCUCUUAUUUCUCCUAAACAUAGGUCAGGCAACAUUAUAUGAAGUAGCAUUACUGAAUUCUCACACAUAAUGCAAAGGCCUUGUUUGAUGUGUCUGUUACAUCCAUAGUUGGCAAUGGGAAGACUGUGAAGUUCUGGACUGAUCGUUGGCUCUUUGGUCAAACUGUUGCUGAAUGCUGCCCAUCCUUAAUUAAAUCAAUUCCUAAAAAGGGCCUUAAAGCAACGAACAGUAGCAGAGGGAAUCACAGACUGCAAGUGGGUUUCUGAUAUAAGAGGAGCACUGUCCGUGCAAGUUCUACUGGAAUACUUGCAGCUCUGGAAUUUGGUUGAGGGGUGUCGGUGUUUUAAACCCGCCGGUUCUAACCAACUAGUAAAUUUGUGCUGCGUGCUCUUAUCCCGGAUGGUUGAUGAAAGAAGACACACAAGGUUUAUCCUGGUUCGGGCAAGAGAAGGCCCUACAUCCAGCGGGGGGAGGAGACUUAUAUUAUCUUGCAUCUAAGUGCUCGUAGUAGGGGAUACAAGCAAGUCGAGAGAGGGAGUGAGUCCUAAGUCUCUGAGUAUGAUUGAGGCGAGUGCCAAUAUCAGGAGUGGAGUGAGGAGUGAACGGUGAAGUGUUGUCCUUGACCUCCUUAUAGAAGGCCCCGGGCUCUUCCUUUUAUAGCUGCAAGGAGGAGGCCCAGGGGUACAGGUGUUGCUAUGCUAUUGCUGUGGUAGGAGGAGGUGUGUCCGAGCCCUGUAGCGGUAUGGCCGGCGGGAUGGCCCUCGUCCUUGAUGUCGUCUUUGGUCAGGAGAAGGACGCCCGAUCCCUGUAGCCUGUCCUUUGACUAGGUAGAGAGCCGAGGCCGGGUUUGGGAGCAUGGGCGUCUGCCCGAGCUCGUCCUGUACAGGGGUGCGAAUGAGACGUUUCCGAGGGUGUCGAGUCGGAGUGGUUGAAACAGAGCUCGGCAUGGUGAAAAAGUGUGUGGUAAUCUGGUCCGGAUGUCAUUCUGGAUGGUGGAAAGUGGAUUGGACACUGGUCUUGUUGUUUCUGUAGCCUUCCUGUCUUCAGCGGGAGAGCAGGUGGCAUUUAAUGCGCGUGCUUCCCUGUUGGGGCAGUUGGCCGAGGUCAAGCUCGGGCGAGGCGAAGAUUUCUUCCGAGGCCGAGGCCGUGAUUAGACGUUGCAUGUAGUCACGCUCUGGGUGGUUGAAACAGUGGUCGGAGUGGGGGAAUAGUACCCCUGUAUUCGUGCCCUGACCAUCGUUGUGGGUGGUAAAAGUAGAUUAGACCGUGGGCGUGUCGUCCUUUGUUGACUUUGGCACCUGCUGCGGGGCAGGUGGCCGUACAGACUACAUUUAAUACGCACGUUCUGGGAUCGGAGUGGUUGGCCGAGGCGGGCAUGCCCCGGAGCGCUGCCCGAGAUGCCCUCGAGCGAGUCGGAAAUGCGUCUUCCGCCCGAGGCUGGCCUCGGGUGAGUCGCGAAUGCGUCCUUCCCCCGCGGCGAGGUUCGGUCGAAUCGUAGAACUACGGCUCGCCCGAGGAUAUCCUCGGGCGAAUCGUAGUUGUACUGUCGGCCUGUGGGGCUUCGGGCGAAUCGUGAUUUUGGUUCCGUGUGGCCUUGGUAAGGUUGGAAGCGUGUUUGCUUGUGACCCCUUCUUACCCAGGCGUCUAGGCACUUUAGGGUUGUGAUCUGGGUACCCCUAAUUACGGUACCCGACAAGUGGGUAGAGCUUCAACCUGACAUUGAAGAUCAACAUAUUUGGCGUCUCUCUGGCCAUGGUAUUUACUCCAGCAGGUCAGCGUAUGAAGCAUUUUUUACUAGAUCUAUCACUUUCGCCCCUUGGCGGCGUGUGUGGAAGACCUGGGCCCCCUUAAGGUGCAAACUCUUUGUUUGGUUGGCAAUCAAAAACCGGGUCUGGACAGCUGACAGAUUGGCCUAAAGAGGACUGCCCCAUCCAGCUGCGUGCCCUCUUUGUGAUCAGGCAGAGGAGACCAUCCAACAUACUCUCAUCCCUUGUGUUUUUGCCCGGCAAGUCUGGACGUUGAUCCUCCACAAAUUGGGCCUCCUCAUCAUUGCUCCUCAGCCAGGAUGCUCGAGAUUUUCGAGUUGGUGGUGCCAAAGUAUUAAAAGUGUUGAGAAGAACUUCAGGAAGGGACUUAACUCCCUAAUCAUUUUGGUUGCUUGGGAGUUAUGGAAGCACCGUAAUUCUUGCGUCUUUGACGGUGCUACACCCUGUGUCCAAAGUGUUGUGCUUGCUGUGACUGAAGAGGGUAGUGCCUGGUGCUUGGCUGGAGCAUCAGCUCUUCAGGACCUCCUCCUGCGUCGACUCCCCAUGGCGUCCUAGUAGUUGUUAGGUGAUAGUUCUGGUCGUUUGUCGCCCUGUGUGUGUGGCGCGCUGAGUUGGGGUAAUGGUGUGGUGUGUUGGCCUUAUUGGCCUUGUACUUAGGGGAUGACAAGUCUUGUCUCUCCUAAUUUCUCUUUCUUAAUGAAAUGCCUGCGUUUGUUCAAAAAAAAAAGAUUCAGCCAACUAUUCUGCACUACUGCUGCCUUGAUGUUGCUUCAGGUAAUCGACCAUAUAUGGACUGUUUUAGUGUUUUUCACAGCACUGCAUAUAGGCUUUAGUGUAUUACGAGUAUGUUUCUUUCUAAUUCUACCUUUCUUACUUUGUGCAACACUGCAAAUCAAGACCUGAGUUACAAAACUGAUUUUUAUUGUACGGUUGUCUAAGUUUGCACUAUCAUCAUUCAAGUUAUAUCAUGGUAUGCAGAGAUAGCACCCGCCUUGAUGUUGAUUGUCAUUUUUUGUAUGUCAUUGCUUAUAAAAAAACAGAGAUACCCUGCUAUGCUUAAGGAAGAUGAAAGUGACAUGUAAGAUUACUCAGUGCACUUCAUUUUUGCUCUUAGUUGACCUGUACAUGUCUGAUGUUUAUGCUGUUUUGUCUUCUCUACUUUAAGUGCCUACUAGAUUCAAAAAAAUACUUUAAGUGCCUACUAGGUGCAAUUUUAAAUUAGUAUUUUGUAGUCAACAGAUAGAGCACACUGCUCUGAUUGUAGUCAACAAAGAUGGCAUUGAAGAACCCAGCCAGACAUACUAGGAUUAAGUGAAUUUGCCAAUAUGAGAUGACCCAAAUGGUUUAAGUGAAUAUCUCUAUCUCGAGUUGGAGGUUGCUAUCAGACACUACCUGUUUUUAACUCUUAGUUUGAGCUUACAUCUCAAACCAAACUAUUAUCUUGCAAUCUGCAUGAAGAAUUGCAGUGCUUGUUGCUUCACUUCAGUUUUUACUCUCAUUUUGCACGAAACUAUGUGUUAUUUAUUACAGAUUUCACUCAUUUCUUUUGUUUACUGUGUAGCAAAAUAUGGAGAUAAUCAAACUGCCGACUGAAUUUGAUAUCACUAAAAAAGACAUGGUACUGCUGAGACACCAAACAAAUACACAAUGCAAGCACCUUGGAGUACAUAUGUUCCAUGAUUAAUGUUAGUCCACUAACAGAAGAUAUUCUCUACAGGUAAUAAUGUGUUUUCUCUGAAUAUUUUUUGCUUUGUAUGUCUCUAAAAUUUUUGACAUGUGCGGUCACAAAUGGUUAGGAGGGAGGAAAACAAUAUGCCGAGUAUGGUUCUGUUACUGUUGAGAGCAAAGGAAAAUGGCGACUAGGCUCAUCAACAAUAUGUGAAGUUUCUCAUUUAUUUAUUUUUUAAAUAGAGAACAAACUGAAGCCCAAGAACAACAUGCACUACAAAUGGUUAAGCAACAAUUGUUUUCUCCACUAUUUAAUGCCUGAAGUAAAUUUAUUUUCCGAAUGGUACUGCAUAACUAUACAGCCUUCCUCCUUUUUUAAAAAAAAUAUACUACUGCAGUCUGCAUUGAUGCCAAUCAUGUUCUAAACCCUUCUUAUUCUCUCUGUAAAAAAGGGAUUAGUAAAACACUUACAGGCGCAACCUCAGCUAGGUUUGGGUUGUUGUCUGGAAGGAGAUUAGUUUCAAGGACUGAGCUGAUCAACAUGCCGGCAAGGAACAACUCUUUCUUUUUGCCUUGCAUGAGCUAGGGGAAAUUCAGUACUGGCUACACGGGAAGCGGGAUAAGUUGCAGUGACAGCAAAACCAGAUAGGAGAAAGAGUGCAGGAACUGAAGAAGAUUGGUGGGAAGCACAGCUUUCUGAUCUUUGAAGACCGCAAGUUUGCUGACAUUGGGAACACAAUUGGAGCCUCCUGCAACUACGAGGGGAAAAAAAUUCUGAUGACUAAAGUGCUUCGAUUCUUAAACCUUCAGUAGGCCAGAAAUAUCUUUAUAAUGGACCCGAGGCCUAUACGAACUGGUAAUUGACAACAUGGGUUCCAAAAACAUUAGAUUGGAAUCUUAAUCUAUCUCAAUAUUUACUUCAUUUUUAAGAGACAUAUUGUCAUUUUGUUUUUUUCCAUAGCGUUAGCAUGGGCAUGUAUACUAUCAGUAUAUAUGAUUUUUUUGCCUUACACCUCGGUUCAAUAUACAGUAAUACACUUCCAA